AACGUAUUUUAGACAUCUUCUAUACAUUAGCCUAGCGUUUUUCAAAAUCGGAGUUGGCAACACUGACGCCGAAGUGAUUUGUCAACGCGUCUUGUGUUAAUUUUUUUGCGGUUAUCUAUCACAUCACAGAUCUAACAACUUACAAGUUCAAUGGAGUAAGUGAUCGAAUCUUUAAAAACAUGGGAGUUGGAGAACUUAAUACGAAAAUUCACCACCCCGGAAUCGGACGCUAAUAAAACCAUGUUCCGAUGGUAAUAGGCGACGCCCAGCGUGCCCGGGUGUUGAAAUAAGUGCAAAACUGCUCUCCGCUCGCCUUUUGUCCACCAACGGGUUCACGCCGCGUCGCCUAAUCCUCGCGCCGGUCGCCAGCAUUCCCCGCUGUGUUCCGGUAACCUACAGGCGGCAAGCUGACGCUGCCGUCAUCCACACGACACCAUCUCUGAGGCGGCUGACGUGGCAGUCGUGGUGGUCUGAGGCGGCUGACGUAGCACGUUUGAGGUUAGACCUUUCCAAUCACUCUUAUCUACAUCAUCGAACCGGCAUAAUUAUGGUUCUGGCACCCUCCGUGUUACUAUACCUUUUAUUUUAAUAUCCGCCGUACACCGUUUCUACCCGUAGUUUUAACUCAAGAGUUCGCUGAUCCACGUUUGUUCCCUUAAAUAAUUUAAAACCUUAGUCUCAUGUUCAAGUGUAGCUAGCCCUCGGCUCUGUAAACUUAGUAAAUUAGAGAGUAAUUUCAUAAUAUAAGGCAAGGCUCAGUGGAGUCCUUUGUAAUAGAUUAAUUAACAGAGAAAUAAUUACCUUUUGCCCUUAAGAGUUGUUUCAAUUUUAAAUCUUGUCUGCUAGCAUAAUGGCCCCCCAAUUAUAGAUAUUGUAGCAAUAUUGAAA
Molecule: long non-coding RNA, 888 nt
Filed under: Leguminivora glycinivorella
Lineage: Eukaryota; Metazoa; Arthropoda; Insecta; Lepidoptera; Tortricidae
Description: uncharacterized LOC125230511
Source: RNAcentral